UACGUAGGGGGCGAGCGUUGUCCGGAAUUACUGGGCGUAAAGAGCGUGUAGGCGGGUAUUUAAGUCAGGUGUGAAAGACCGGGGCUCAACUCCGGGGUUGCACUUGAAACUGGGUAUCUUGAGGGCAGGAGAGGAAAGCGGAAUUCCUGGUGUAGCGGUGAAAUGCGUAGAUAUCAGGAGGAACACCGGUGGCGAAGGCGGCUUUCUGGACUGACCCUGACGCUGAGACGCGAAAGCGUGGGGAGCAAACAGG
Molecule: ribosomal RNA, 253 nt
Filed under: uncultured prokaryote
Description: partial 16S ribosomal RNA
Rfam family: Bacterial small subunit ribosomal RNA
Source: RNAcentral